This 253-nucleotide ribosomal RNA is filed under the name uncultured bacterium. RNAcentral's name for it is "partial 16S ribosomal RNA". It matches the Rfam family "Bacterial small subunit ribosomal RNA", at positions 524 to 776 of the family's 1533-position model. The record is from RNAcentral.
UACGUAGGUGGCGAGCGUUGUCCGGAUUUACUGGGCGUAAAGAGCGCGCAGGCGGCUGGUCAAGUCCGAUGUGAAAGCUCCCGGCUUAACUGGGAAAUUGCAUCGGAAACUGAUCGGCUGGAAGGUGGGAGAGGGUAGCGGAAUUCCCGGUGUAGUGGUGAAAUGCGUAGAUAUCGGGAGGAACACCUGUGGCGAAAGCGGCGCACUGGACCACAACUGACGCUGAGGCGCGAAAGCUAGGGGAGCAAACAGG